This 28-nucleotide non-coding RNA is filed under the name Mus musculus (house mouse). The record is from RNAcentral. Lineage: Eukaryota; Metazoa; Chordata; Mammalia; Rodentia; Muridae.
UACAAUUUCCCCAACUAACUCACAGGUC